UAUCUCUGUAGAGUCUGCAUAUCAAUAAGCGGAGGAAAAGAAACUAACUAGGAUUCCCUUAGUAACGGCGAGUGAAGCGGGAAGAGCUCAAAUUUGAAAUCUUCAAGGUUUCUACCUUGACGAAUUGUAGUUUAAAGAAGUGUUUUCUGUUGGAGUUUUGGUAAAAGUUCUUUGGAAUAGGACAUCAUAGAAGGGUGAGAAUCCCGUAUUUGACCAUUUCUUUCCAGCUUUGUGAUACACUUUCAAAGAGUCGGAUUGUUUGGGAAUGCAGUCCAAAAUGGGUGGUAAAUUUCAUCUAAAGCUAAAUAUUGGCGAGAGACCGAUAGCGAACAAGUACCGUGAGGGAAAGAUGAAAAGAACUUUGAAAAGAGAGUUAAACAGUACGUGAAAUUGUCAAAAGGGAAGCGUUUGACACCAGUGUUGUUUUCUCGAAAAUCAAUUAAAAAUGGCCUGGAUUUUGUGUUGUAUUGACUUUAUCAGCUUUCUGCACUCUUUUUCUUGUCUUUUUUAAUGCACUUUUCGUUUAACAAGUCAACAUCAAUUUCUUUUGUUGUAAAAGAGUCAUUGGAAGGUGGCUUUCACUUCGGUGAAAGUGUUUAUAGCCUUUGACUUCUGCAAUCGGAGAGAUUGAGGUCUGCAGCGUAGAUCCUUCGGGGUUAGAUACAUUUGUGCUAAGUUAUAGUUUUUCAUAGACAACAUGUUGACUAUGAUUAAUCAUGUAGCUUACUCGCUUACGCUAUUUUACCUACGCUUAGGAUGUUGAUGUGAUACUGCGAGCA
RNAcentral lists this ribosomal RNA (779 nucleotides) under uncultured Neocallimastigales. RNAcentral's name for it is "partial large subunit ribosomal RNA". It matches the Rfam family "Eukaryotic large subunit ribosomal RNA", at positions 24 to 646 of the family's 3401-position model. Lineage: Eukaryota; Fungi; Neocallimastigomycota; Neocallimastigomycetes; Neocallimastigales. The record is from RNAcentral.